GACGAACGCUGGCGGCGCGCUUAACACAUGCAAGUCGAACGGAAAGGCCUGCUUUCCCUUGUGGAUUGCGGGUACUCGAGUGGCGAACGGGUGAGUAACACAUGAGUGAUCUGCCCCCAACUUGGGUAUAAGCCUGGGAAACUGGGUCUAAUUCCCGAUAGGACUGCAGGGUGGUGCCUGUGGUGGAAAACGAUUUUCUAGUGGUUGGGGAUGAGCUCGCGGCCUAUCAGCUUGUUGGUGGGGUAAUGGCCUACCAAGGCGGCGACGGGUAGCCGGCCUGGGAGGGUGGACGGCCACAUUGGGACUGAGAUACGGCCCAGACUCCUACGGGAGGCAGCAGUGGGGAAUAUUACACAAUGGGCGGAAGCCUGAUGCAGCGACGCCGCGUGGGGGAUGACGGCCUUCGGGUUGUAAACUCCUUUCGACCGCGAGGAAGCCACCUGGUUGGAAGGGUGGUGACGGUAGUGGUAGAAGAAGCACCGGCUAACUACGUG
Molecule: ribosomal RNA, 494 nt
Filed under: uncultured bacterium
Lineage: Bacteria
Description: partial 16S ribosomal RNA
Rfam family: Bacterial small subunit ribosomal RNA
Source: RNAcentral